RNAcentral lists this transfer RNA (76 nucleotides) under Salmonella enterica subsp. enterica serovar Typhimurium. RNAcentral's name for it is "tRNA-Phe". It matches the Rfam family "tRNA". Rfam says of the family: Transfer RNA (tRNA) molecules are approximately 80 nucleotides in length. Their secondary structure includes four short double-helical elements and three loops (D, anti-codon, and T loops). The record is from RNAcentral. Lineage: Bacteria; Pseudomonadati; Pseudomonadota; Gammaproteobacteria; Enterobacterales; Enterobacteriaceae.
UNCCGGAUAGCUCAGUCGGUAGAGCAGGGGAUUGAAAAUCCCCGUGUCCUUGGUUCGAUUCCGAGUCCGGGCACCA